GACGAACGCUGGCGGCGUGCUUAACACAUGCAAGUCGAACGAUGAUGCUGGAGCUUGCUCCAGUUGAUUAGUGGCGAACGGGUGAGUAACACGUGAGCAAUCCGCCCUUGACUCUGGGAUAACUGCGGGAAACUGUAGCUAAUACCGGAUACUUUCACCGGAAGGCAUCUUCUGGUGAUGAAAGAAUUUCGGUCAGGGAUGAGCUCGCGGCCUAUCAGCUUGUUGGUGAGGUAACGGCUCACCAAGGCGACGACGGGUAGCCGGCCUGAGAGGGUGACCGGCCACACUGGGACUGAGACACGGCCCAGACUCCUACGGGAGGCAGCAGUGGGGAAUAUUGCACAAUGGGCGCAAGCCUGAUGCAGCAACGCCGCGUGAGGGAUGAAGGCCUUCGGGUUGUAAACCUCUUUUAGCAGGGAAGAAGUGAAAGUGACGGUACCUGCAGAAAAAGCACCGGCUAACUACGUGCCAGCCGCCGCCGUAA
This 484-nucleotide ribosomal RNA is filed under the name uncultured bacterium. RNAcentral describes it as "partial 16S ribosomal RNA". It matches the Rfam family "Bacterial small subunit ribosomal RNA", at positions 28 to 523 of the family's 1533-position model. The record is from RNAcentral.